Molecule: ribosomal RNA, 105 nt
Filed under: Caerostris extrusa
Lineage: Eukaryota; Metazoa; Arthropoda; Arachnida; Araneae; Araneidae
Source: RNAcentral
ACGGCCAUACCAUGCUGAAUAUACCAGUUCUCGUUAGAUCACCGAAGUCAAGCAUCAUUGAGCGCGGUCAGUACAUGGGUGGUUGACCACCUGGGAACACCGCGC